Molecule: ribosomal RNA, 555 nt
Filed under: Triticum aestivum (bread wheat)
Lineage: Eukaryota; Viridiplantae; Streptophyta; Magnoliopsida; Poales; Poaceae
Description: partial small subunit ribosomal RNA
Source: RNAcentral
AUGCCCGCAAAAGAUUUGGAGGAAAUUAAGAAGCAGAUCAAGGAGUUACUGGAUAAAGGCUAUAUUCGCCCAAGUUCGUCACCUUGGGGAUCACCAGUACUUCUAGUGGAGAAGAAAGAUGGAUCGCUGAGGAUGGUUGUUGAUUACCGUGGAUUGAAUGAAGUGACCAUCAAAAACAAGUACCCACUGCCGAUGAUCAAUGAUUUGUUUGACCGCCUACAAGGAGCUAAAGUAUUUUCCAAGAUCGAUCUACGAUCGGGAUACCAUCAGUUAAAGAUUCGAGAGCAGGAUAUACCUAAGACGGCUUUUACCACCAGAUAUGGACUGUAUGAGUAUACCGUUAUGUCAUUUGGUCUGACUAACGCACCUGCCUAUUUCAUGAACCUGAUGAACAAAGUAUUUAUGGAGUUUUUGGAUAAGUUCGUCGUGGUGUUCAUUGAUGAUAUUUUACUCUUUUCCAAGAAUGAGGAAGAGCAUGAGGAGCAUUUGCGAUUGGUACUUGAGAAGCUCAGAGAACAUCAGUUAUAUGCCAAGUUCAGCAAAUGUGAAUUUUGG